This is a long non-coding RNA of Carassius carassius (crucian carp), 736 nucleotides long. RefSeq lists it as uncharacterized. The transcript is spliced from 2 exons. The record is from RefSeq and is a predicted model, not a curated record. Lineage: Eukaryota; Metazoa; Chordata; Actinopteri; Cypriniformes; Cyprinidae.
AUUGCUCAUAAUGCCAAAACAUGUAGGCUCAAUUCACUAACCAUCACUGGAAAAAAACAACGCUGAAAUAUUGUCAGCUCCAGGUGCUAUAGAAGAUUAUAAAUGUUGAUUUGCUGUAUGCUUCAGUGUGUUUCAUCUCACUGAUUUUACAUUCUUAACUAUUUUGUUUUUUUACACUUUGUAUGAUGAGUUUUGGGGUGAAGUUGACUGCUCAUUGCGCAAACUGUGCAACUGAACUGUAAAACUAUACAAGAAAAGUCAGGAGAAAAAAAAAGCAAUUCUUUAAAGCCACAAAGACCACUGCCUGGAUACUUUGAAAGACAGGCUUAUACAGAAUGAUGAACUGACCAAUAAGUUCUGUAACGGUUUUAUCAAAACCUCCAUGUGAUGUGAAACAUUGUGCAUAAAACAACAUGUAAUAAAAAUCAUAAUUAAUAAAAAAUAUUGUUUAUUUAAUUUGCUUUAGAAUAUUAUACAUGGUUAGUAAUUCUAAUGGAAUCUACUUAUUUUGUGAUGUCGCAUACUGUACAGAAAAUAAAUUUAUAACCAAAUAUUUUUCUAUCAUUAUUUUUUUUAUUACUUUUUUAACAUGCUUUUUUUUCAUUGAACAUAAAAUGCAUUACCUUUUAAUGCUUAAUUACAUAAACGUAUGCUUGUGUUUCUAUAAAAGUGCACAACAAACUUUCUGAAAUAUGCUCUGGUCAAUAUCAGACACUUUCAAACUUUAUAAAUUAUA